Molecule: transfer RNA, 76 nt
Filed under: Corynebacterium pseudodiphtheriticum
Lineage: Bacteria; Bacillati; Actinomycetota; Actinomycetes; Mycobacteriales; Corynebacteriaceae
Also listed under: 18 other names
Description: tRNA-Glu
Rfam family: tRNA
About the family: Transfer RNA (tRNA) molecules are approximately 80 nucleotides in length. Their secondary structure includes four short double-helical elements and three loops (D, anti-codon, and T loops).
Source: RNAcentral
GCCCCGUUCGUCUAGAGGCCUAGGACGCCGGCCUCUCACGCCGGUAACACGGGUUCGAAUCCCGUACGGGGUACAA